GCUCAGAUCGCAUAAUUUGGUAUUGCGCUGGACUGCUAAUCCAGUUUCCUUUUGGAUAUCUGGGUUCAAAUCCCAGUCUGAGCG
This 84-nucleotide transfer RNA is filed under the name archaeon. RNAcentral describes it as "tRNA-Ser". It matches the Rfam family "tRNA". From Rfam's summary of the family: Transfer RNA (tRNA) molecules are approximately 80 nucleotides in length. Their secondary structure includes four short double-helical elements and three loops (D, anti-codon, and T loops). The record is from RNAcentral.